AGUGAACGCUGGCGGUAGGCCUAACACAUGCAAGUCGAACGGCAGCACAGUAAGAGCUUGCUCUUACGGGUGGCGAGUGGCGGACGGGUGAGGAAUACAUCGGAAUCUACUUUUUCGUGGGGGAUAACGUAGGGAAACUUACGCUAAUACCGCAUACGACCUACGGGUGAAAGCAGGGGAUCUUCGGACCUUGCGCGAUUGAAUGAGCCGAUGUCGGAUUAGCUAGUUGGCGGGGUAAAGGCCCACCAAGGCGACGAUCCGUAGCUGGUCUGAGAGGAUGAUCAGCCACACUGGAACUGAGACACGGUCCAGACUCCUACGCGAGGACGCAGUGGGGAAUAUUGGACAAUGGGCGCAAGCCUGAUCCAGCCAUACCGCGUGGGUGCAGAAGGCCUUCGGGUUGUAAAGCCCUUUUGUUGGGAAAGAAAAGCAGCAGGUUAAUCCCCCGCUGUUCUGACGGUACCCAAAGAAUAAGCACCGGCUAACUUCGUG
Molecule: ribosomal RNA, 492 nt
Filed under: uncultured bacterium
Lineage: Bacteria
Description: partial 16S ribosomal RNA
Rfam family: Bacterial small subunit ribosomal RNA
Source: RNAcentral